CACCACCCACUCCAUUUCAGAACGAACUUCGUACGGACCUGACUUGUGCCAUUUCAUGGACCAAUUGAUAUCGGAUUGAGUCCAAAACUUGGGGAACAUCAAAACAUGGUGGGAGGAGUCAUUUGGUGAGUUUUGAGUGAAAUCCAAAAUCUAAACCUAUUCAAUACAACAACCACCCCAUUUCAGAACGAACUUCGUACAAACCUGAAUUGUCCAAUUUCGUGGACCAAUCAACAUCGGAUUGACUCUAAUACUUGGAGAACAUCAUAAUAUGGUGCGAGGAGUCAUUUGGUGAGCUUAGAGUGAAAUCCAAU
RNAcentral lists this long non-coding RNA (314 nucleotides) under Prunus persica (peach). RNAcentral describes it as "long non-coding RNA (PPER_LNC001035)". Lineage: Eukaryota; Viridiplantae; Streptophyta; Magnoliopsida; Rosales; Rosaceae. The record is from RNAcentral.